AAAAAAAUGUUUGCAAGGUUCAGAAUAGCUCGCAGCAUCUGAGAAUCAGACAUGUGCGUGACGACCCAAGUGGUCACAAGAGCAUUUCAUCACAACUUCGCAACGGUUUUGUUUUGGGGUGAGAGAGGCUCGAACUCUCGACCUCAGGAUCACUCAACAAAGCUAUGAGACCUACUCGCUAGCCAACUGCGCCACUACCC
RNAcentral lists this long non-coding RNA (200 nucleotides) under Brachypodium distachyon (stiff brome). RNAcentral's name for it is "long non-coding RNA (BDIS_LNC001857)". The record is from RNAcentral. Lineage: Eukaryota; Viridiplantae; Streptophyta; Magnoliopsida; Poales; Poaceae.